GGUUAAGCGACUAAGCGUACACGGUGGAUGCCCUGGCAGUCAGAGGCGAUGAAGGACGUGCUAAUCUGCGAUAAGCGUCGGUGAGGUGAUAUGAACCGUUAUAACCGGCGAUUUCCGAAUGGGGAAACCCAGUGUGUUUCGACACACUAUCAUUAACUGAAUCCAUAGGUUAAUGAGGCGAACCGGGGGAACUGAAACAUCUAAGUACCCCGAGGAAAAGAAAUCAACCGAGAUUCCCCCAGUAGCGGCGAGCGAACGGGGAGGAGCCCAGAGCCUGAAUCAGUGUGUGUGUUAGUGGAAGCGUCUGGAAAGGCGUGCGAUACAGGGUGACAGCCCCGUACACAAAAAUGCACAUAUUGUGAGCUCGAUGAGUAGGGCGGGACACGUGGUAUCCUGUCUGAAUAUGGGGGGACCAUCCUCCAAGGCUAAAUACUCCUGACUGACCGAUAGUGAACCAGUACCGUGAGGGAAAGGCGAAAAGAACCCCGGCGAGGGGAGUGAAAAAGAACCUGAAACCGUGUACGUACAAGCAGUGGGAGCCUCUUAAUGGGGUGACUGCGUACCUUUUGUAUAAUGGGUCAGCGACUUAUAUUCUGUAGCAAGGUUAACCGAAUAGGGGAGCCGAAGGGAAACCGAGUCUUAACUGGGCGUUAAGUUGCAGGGUAUAGACCCGAAACCCGGUGAUCUAGCCAUGGGCAGGUUGAAGGUUGGGUAACACUAACUGGAGGACCGAACCGACUAAUGUUGAAAAAUUAGCGGAUGACUUGUGGCUGGGGGUGAAAGGCCAAUCAAACCGGGAGAUAGCUGGUUCUCCCCGAAAGCUAUUUAGGUAGCGCCUCGUGAAUUCAUCUCCGGGGGUAGAGCACUGUUUCGGCAAGGGGGUCAUCCCGACUUACCAACCCGAUGCAAACUGCGAAUACCGGAGAAUGUUAUCACGGGAGACACACGGCGGGUGCUAACGUCCGUCGUGAAGAGGGAAACAACCCAGACCGCCAGCUAAGGUCCCAAAGUCAUGGUUAAGUGGGAAACGAUGUGGGAAGGCCCAGACAGCCAGGAUGUUGGCUUAGAAGCAGCCAUCAUUUAAAGAAAGCGUAAUAGCUCACUGGUCGAGUCGGCCUGCGCGGAAGAUGUAACGGGGCUAAACCAUGCACCGAAGCUGCGGCAGCGACACUAUGUGUUGUUGGGUAGGGGAGCGUUCUGUAAGCCUGUGAAGGUGGCCUGUGAGGGUUGCUGGAGGUAUCAGAAGUGCGAAUGCUGACAUAAGUAACGAUAAAGCGGGUGAAAAGCCCGCUCGCCGGAAGACCAAGGGUUCCUGUCCAACGUUAAUCGGGGCAGGGUGAGUCGACCCCUAAGGCGAGGCCGAAAGGCGUAGUCGAUGGGAAACAGGUUAAUAUUCCUGUACUUGGUGUUACUGCGAAGGGGGGACGGAGAAGGCUAUGUUGGCCGGGCGACGGUUGUCCCGGUUUAAGCGUGUAGGCUGGUUUUCCAGGCAAAUCCGGAAAACCAAGGCUGAGGCGUGAUGACGAGGCACUACGGUGCUGAAGCGACAAAUGCCCUGCUUCCAGGAAAAGCCUCUAAGCAUCAGGUAACAUCAAAUCGUACCCCAAACCGACACAGGUGGUCAGGUAGAGAAUACCAAGGCGCUUGAGAGAACUCGGGUGAAGGAACUAGGCAAAAUGGUGCCGUAACUUCGGGAGAAGGCACGCUGAUAUGUAGGUGAAGCGACUUGCUCGUGGAGCUGAAAUCAGUCGAAGAUACCAGCUGGCUGCAACUGUUUAUUAAAAACACAGCACUGUGCAAACACGA
RNAcentral lists this ribosomal RNA (1806 nucleotides) under Escherichia coli. Its description in RNAcentral is "partial 23S ribosomal RNA". It matches the Rfam family "Bacterial large subunit ribosomal RNA", at positions 1 to 1834 of the family's 2925-position model. Lineage: Bacteria; Pseudomonadati; Pseudomonadota; Gammaproteobacteria; Enterobacterales; Enterobacteriaceae. The record is from RNAcentral.